RNAcentral lists this transfer RNA (73 nucleotides) under Planctomycetaceae bacterium. RNAcentral's name for it is "tRNA-Asn". It matches the Rfam family "tRNA". From Rfam's summary of the family: Transfer RNA (tRNA) molecules are approximately 80 nucleotides in length. Lineage: Bacteria; Pseudomonadati; Planctomycetota; Planctomycetia; Planctomycetales; Planctomycetaceae. RNAcentral also lists the same sequence under 9 other names. The record is from RNAcentral.
UCCCCUGUAGCUCAGUUGGUAGAGCAAGCGGCUGUUAACCGCUGGGUCGUAGGUUCGAGUCCUACCGGGGGAG